This 412-nucleotide ribosomal RNA is filed under the name Adaiphrotermes sp. CM2. RNAcentral describes it as "partial 12S ribosomal RNA". The record is from RNAcentral. Lineage: Eukaryota; Metazoa; Arthropoda; Insecta; Blattodea; Termitidae.
CCCUAUUAUUUUGGAGCGUUAAUUUUUGUGUCUGAGUAGUAUUAGUUAUGUUCUUGAAACUUAAAGAAUUUGGCGGUAUCUUAUUCCGUUCAGAGGAAUCUGUCUCGUUAUCGAUAGUCCGCGUUGGACCUUACUUAGUUUAUUUGGUUUGUAUACCGCCGUUUAUUGAUUAUCUUUUUAGAGUUUAUUUAAUUUUCUGGUUUCUUUAUUUUGAUUUAUUUCAGGUCAAGGUGCAGCUUGUUUCUAAGUGGAAUGAUGGAUUACAUUGUUAUUUGUUUUUGGAUUGUUGGUUUUAAUAUUGGCAUGAAAUUGGAUUUGGUUGUAAUGUUUUGUAGAUUGUUUUCGUGAUAAUUGGUUCUGGGAUAUGUACACAUCGCCCGUCGCUCUCGUUUGUUUAUUAAUGAGAUAAGUC